AGACCCGAAACCCGGUGAUCUAGCCAUGGGCAGGUUGAAGGUUGGGUAACACUAACUGGAGGACCGAACCGACUAAUGUUGAAAAAUUAGCGGAUGACCUGUGGCUGGGGGUGAAAGGCCAAUCAAACCGGGAGAUAGCUGGUUCUCCCCGAAAGCUAUUUAGGUAGCGCCUCGUGAAUUCAUCUCCGGGGGUAGAGCACUGUUUCGGCUAGGGGGUCAUCCCGACUUACCAACCCGAUGCAAACUGCGAAUACCGGAGAAUGUUAUCACGGGAGACACACGGCGGGUGCUAACGUCCGUCGUGAAGAGGGAAACAACCCAGACCGCCAGCUAAGGUCCCAAAGUCAUGGUUAAGUGGGAAACGAUGUGGGAAGGCCCAGACAGCCAGGAUGUUGGCUUAGAAGCAGCCAUCAUUUAAAGAAAGCGUAAUAGCUCACUGGUCGAGUCGGCCUGCGCGGAAGAUGUAACGGGGCUAAACCAUGCACCGAAGCUGCGGCAGCGACACUGUGUGUUGUUGGGUAGGGGAGCGUUCUGUAAGCCUGUGAAGGUGGCCUGUGAGGGUUGCUGGAGGUAUCAGAAGUGCGAAUGCUGACAUAAGUAACGAUAAAGCGGGUGAAAAGCCCGCUCGCCGGAAGACCAAGGGUUCCUGUCCAACGUUAAUCGGGGCAGGGUGAGUCGACCCCUAAGGCGAGGCCGAAAGGCGUAGUCGAUGGGAAACGGGUUAAUAUUCCCGUACUUGGUGUUACUGCGAAGGGGGGACGGAGAAGGCUAUGUUGGCCGGGCGACGGUUGUCCCGGUUUAAGCGUGUAGGUGUGUGUUCCAGGUAAAUCCGGUUCACUUUAACACUGAGGCGUGACGACGAGGCACUACGGUGCUGAAGCAACAAAUGCCCUGCUUCCAGGAAAAGCCUCUAAGCAUCAGGUAACAUCAAAUCGUACCCCAAACCGACACAGGUGGUCAGGUAGAGAAUACCAAGGCGCUUGAGAGAACUCGGGUGAAGGAACUAGGCAAAAUGGUGCCGUAACUUCGGGAGAAGGCACGCUGACACGUAGGUGAAGUGAUUUACUCACGGAGCUGAAGUCAGUCGAAGAUACCAGCUGGCUGCAACUGUUUAUUAAAAACACAGCACUGUGCAAACACGAAAGUGGACGUAUACGGUGUGACGCCUGCCCGGUGCCGGAAGGUUAAUUGAUGGGGUCAGCGCAAGCGAAGCUCCUGAUCGAAGCCCCGGUAAACGGCGGCCGUAACUAUAACGGUCCUAAGGUAGCGAAAUUCCUUGUCGGGUAAGUUCCGACCUGCACGAAUGGCGUAAUGAUGGCCAGGCUGUCUCCACCCGAGACUCAGUGAAAUUGAACUCGCUGUGAAGAUGCAGUGUACCCGCGGCAAGACGGAAAGACCCCGUGAACCUUUACUAUAGCUUGACACUGAACAUUGAGCCUUGAUGUGUAGGAUAGGUGGGAGGCUUUGAAGCGUGGACGCCAGUCUGCGUGGAGCCGACCUUGAAAUACCACCCUUUAAUGUUUGAUGUUCUAACGUGGACCCGUGAUCCGGGUUGCGGACAGUGUCUGGUGGGUAGUUUGACUGGGGCGGUCUCCUCCUAAAGAGUAACGGAGGAGCACGAAGGUUGGCUAAUCCUGGUCGGACAUCAGGAGGUUAGUGCAAUGGCAUAAGCCAGCUUGACUGCGAGCGUGACGGCGCGAGCAGGUGCGAAAGCAGGUCAUAGUGAUCCGGUGGUUCUGAAUGGAAGGGCCAUCGCUCAACGGAUAAAAGGUAC
This 1774-nucleotide ribosomal RNA is filed under the name Salmonella enterica subsp. enterica serovar Mississippi. RNAcentral's name for it is "partial 23S ribosomal RNA". It matches the Rfam family "Bacterial large subunit ribosomal RNA", at positions 711 to 2466 of the family's 2925-position model. Lineage: Bacteria; Pseudomonadati; Pseudomonadota; Gammaproteobacteria; Enterobacterales; Enterobacteriaceae. The record is from RNAcentral.